UCGAAUGGGAAGAUUCAGCGUCAGCGGUGUCGUCAGUGGCGGAUCGUGCGUUAUCUCGGACUUCGGUCCUGGGACGGCGUAUUCUUUCCAUGCCCUGUUCGGCGUCGUCGUCGUGCACUUCUCCCCUAGUAGAACGUCGCGACCCGUUGGGUGUCGGUCUACGGCCCGAGUGGUAGACUGUCGCGUAGCUUCGGCUCACGCGUCAGACCCUCGGUCGCUCGGCCGGCUGCCCGGCGGUCGAACGUAUAAGGUAUCUUGUCGCAAUUAUUUGAACUGCGUCGGGCCUGUCGCAAGCGCGGCCAGUGUAUAUAUCUCGGAGGUACGGACCCGGUGCCGUCCCCGAGCCUGGCCAGCUGUUGGCAGACAGAGUCCUUUGACGGGCAUUACACAAAAUGAUACCGGUCUGCGACGCUACUGCUUUGGGUACU
RNAcentral lists this ribosomal RNA (428 nucleotides) under Ropalidia plebeiana. RNAcentral describes it as "eukaryotic LSU rRNA". Lineage: Eukaryota; Metazoa; Arthropoda; Insecta; Hymenoptera; Vespidae. The record is from RNAcentral.